CAGUCGCCGCGGUAAUACAGAGGGUGCAAGCGUUAAUCGGAAUUACUGGGCGUAAAGCGCGCGUAGGUGGUUUGUUAAGUUGGAUGUGAAAUCCCCGGGCUCAACCUGGGAACUGCAUCCAAAACUGGCAAGCUAGAGUAUGGUAGAGGGUGGUGGAAUUUCCUGUGUAGCGGUGAAAUGCGUAGAUAUAGGAAGGAACACCAGUGGCGAAGGCGACCACCUGGACUGAUACUGACACUGAGGUGCGAAAGCGUGGGGAGCAAACAGGAUUAGAUACCCCCGUAGUCACUGUCUCUUAUAC
This 301-nucleotide ribosomal RNA is filed under the name uncultured bacterium. RNAcentral describes it as "partial 16S ribosomal RNA". It matches the Rfam family "Bacterial small subunit ribosomal RNA", at positions 509 to 807 of the family's 1533-position model. The record is from RNAcentral.